This 429-nucleotide ribosomal RNA is filed under the name Gemmatimonadota bacterium. Its description in RNAcentral is "Gemmatimonadetes bacterium partial 16S ribosomal RNA". It matches the Rfam family "Bacterial small subunit ribosomal RNA", at positions 355 to 776 of the family's 1533-position model. Lineage: Bacteria; Pseudomonadati; Gemmatimonadota. The record is from RNAcentral.
UAGGGAAUCUUCGGCAAUGGACGAAAGUCUGACCGAGCAACGCCGCGUGAGUGAAGAAGGUUUUCGGAUCGUAAAACUCUGUUGUUAGAGAAGAACAAGGACGUUAGUAACUGAACGUCCCCUGACGGUAUCUAACCAGAAAGCCAAGGCUAACUACGUGCCAGCAGCCGCGGUAAUACGUAGGUGGCAAGCGUUGUCCGGAUUUAUUGGGCGUAAAGCGUGCGCAGGCGGUUUCUUAAGUCUGAUGUGAAAGCCCCCGGCUCAACCGGGGAGGGUCAUUGGAAACUGGGAGACGUGAGUGCAGAAGAGGAGAGUGGAAUUCCAUGUGUAGCGGUGAAAUGCGUAGAUAUAUGGAGGAACACCAGUGGCGAAGGCGGCUCUCUGGUCUGUAACUGACGCUGAGGCUCGAAAGCGUGGGGAGCAAACAGG